This is a long non-coding RNA of Dreissena polymorpha, 2805 nucleotides long. RefSeq lists it as uncharacterized. The transcript is spliced from 9 exons. The record is from RefSeq and is a predicted model, not a curated record. Lineage: Eukaryota; Metazoa; Mollusca; Bivalvia; Myida; Dreissenidae.
AGAAACAGGAUUCCAGGCCGAAUGUCAAACCGUCUGGGCUCCAGCAGCAGCCUCAGCCGUGGGGGUCAGGUUCAUGAUGCACCUAUGCUCUCAAUGCUCUAUGAACAUCAUAAUCUCACAGCAACAGUGGAUAACAUGACCUUCAAGUUGGGGAUGGUUGAGGGUCUCCCAAAACCAUCCAGUGCCUUGCGAUGAAAACCUCCAACGGGACUGUGACCUUGCCCUUGGACUCACCUAAUGGUCAGGUUCAAGGUCACAUGGGCUUAGAUAGUCACUGCAGUAAAAAAGUGUAUGGUUUUAAAGUAAAGAAGAUGACUUCACAACGUGACAUCCAAGACUGCAGGGACGAAAUGACUCACGCCAGCAGAGGAAGCCAAGACACAAUACGAGAAUUUCCAGCGACUUACCUGCUUAAAACCUGGGUAGCAGAGCAAUGAGUAUAUCUCAGGAGCAUUUGCAGUCACAGCAAGUGAACCAGCGGCAGUCAUCGUCUCCAGAUUCUGAGAUCCCCAUGCUUCACAACCCUCAGUCUAUGAACAUCAUGCAUAGCAAACCUUGGACGUCCAUUGACGAAAUCAAACCGGCAAAUCAGAAGGACAGCCUGUUGCUACAGUUGUUAUCAUAUUAACCCCAGUCAUACCGAAGAAGCUCAGAGAUAUAAAUGCUGUUUAAGAUGUGCUAGUUUCUGCAUACUCCAUGUCUGGUGUGAACAUGUACAAAUGAAAGUCUCUACAUACCCCAUGUCUGAUGUGAACAUGUUCAAAUGAAAGUCUCUACAUACCCCAUGUCUGAUGUGAACAUGUACAAUUGAAAGUCUCUGCAUACUCCAUGUCUGGUGUGAACAUGUACAAUUGAAAGUCUCUACAUACCCCAUGUCUGAUGUAAACACGUACAAUUGAAGGUCUCUACAUACCCCAUGUCUGAUGUAAACACGUACAAUUGAAGGUCUCUACAUACCCCAUGUCUGGUGUGAACAUGUACAAUUGAAGGUCUCUACAUACCCCAUGUCUGAUGUAAACACGUACAAUUGAAGGUCUCUACAUACCCCAUGUCUGAUGUAAACACGUACAAUUGAAGGUCUCUACAUACCCCAUGUCUGGUGUGAACAUGUACAAUUGAAGGUCUCUACAUACCCCAUGUCUGGUGUGAACAUGUACAAUUGAAGGUCUCUACAUACCCCAUGUCUGGUGUGAACAUGUACAAUUGAAGGUCUCUACAUACCCCAUGUCUGGUGUGAACAUGUCUCAUCUUUGAAAUUGGAAAAUUAGUGACUUGAUUCAGACAGAAAUCGCAUAAUGACAAAUCACAACAAAAAAUGGAAAGCCAGAAAGUCUUGUGGCCAGCAAUGUUUUUAUGUGACCAUCCAAGUUGUGUUCAAAGAAAAACAAUAGUUUAUGUUUUAUUGGAACUAUGAUGCUGUCAGUCAUUUUAUGUUGAAGGCUUUAAAUAACUAUAUUUAAAUAUAAUAAGAUUAAGAUUACUUGAUCAAAGAAAUAAUGUAAAAUAGUAUUUUAAGCGCAAAAUUUACAAGUCUAUCCAAUUACUGUGUCUGUAUUAUGACAUUUUAUUUUGGAAAUGUUAAGGAAAAUAUAAUGUAAGUAAAUAUAUGUCUAUGAAUGUUGAUUUUAACAUUUGUCAAAGCUGUUUAAAUGAUGCUGGUAACUUUGACAAAAUUUAAAGAAAUGUAUUAUUUUCAUGUAAUGAGACAUGCUUCAGUUUUUUGUGGCUUAACCUGUUAUAUAGUGGUGGUAGUUACAAGAAUUGUUUAGCCAGAUGGAGAAUGUUGAUGCUAUGGCUUUGAUACUCUUAAGUGUGCCCAUUGGUGUCAGGUUUUUAUCAAGAAUAUUUUUUAUUGUCUUACUAUUUCUUAAAAAUAUUGAUUAAUUUUAGACAAAAUCAUUUAAUCUUCCUUAAAUUGUCUAUUCUGUAUUUACGACCAGUUAUUUAUUAAUUUGCAUGAAUAUGAUUUAAGAAUGACUUUUGUGUCGCUUAAAAUGCUUUAUUUGUUUUGAAACUUAAUAUUUAAAAACGAAAAUAUGAGGUGUAGAAAUAAUGGCCAAAGUUAUGAUAAUUAUUUUUUUGUUUUUGUAAAGUUUAUUAUGCUUUAUAUGUUUGUGUAUAGGCAUUUAGACGACCAGAUUAACUUUACCAAUAAUUCGUGAUCACUAUAUAUCGGUCAGUACAUUUGUCACUUGUAUAUAGAGCGAUUGCGAAAUUAUUGUAUUUGCAAUGUUAAUCAUGCGUUUAUUGUUGCCAUUUUGAUUUUCGCUGUUAACAUUUAUUUGUUCUAACAAUUUUCAUCACGUACAUCUUUUAGGUGCCAGAUAAUAAAAAAAACAUUGCUUGUGGAGAUGCUCAUUUAAAACUUUCUUAAUGAUACAGAACAACACAUUCUGAAGAGGCAAAUAUGCUUUAGACAAUAGGAACAUCUUGUUACUAGUAUAUGUAAUGCCUUUCACUAAAUAAAGUCAAGCAACUAUAGAAAGAUUGGUUUAACUUUAUUUUGCAUUAUCUUAAGAAAAAUUAAUAUAUUCAACUUGGAAAUCAGUCAAUUGCAAAUCAAGCAAGAGUGAUGAAUAUUUGUACGCAAGAUAGAGGGAUGUUUUUGCUUGAAAAAAGUUUUAUCCCUUGUUAGAUAAUGAUUUUGUUCAUCUCUCAACAUAACAAGUGCAUUCAUACAGCUAUUAAAAAUAUGACACACUUAAUACUCAGCCAUCAGUUUGUAUUGGGGUUUUGUGGAAUACUUACUAAACUAAUAUACGUCUGUGCAAUUAAUUAAUAGUUAUGGUAAAAUAUGAUACUCAU